Long non-coding RNA from Aedes albopictus (Asian tiger mosquito), 148 nucleotides. RefSeq lists it as uncharacterized. The record is from RefSeq and is a predicted model, not a curated record. Lineage: Eukaryota; Metazoa; Arthropoda; Insecta; Diptera; Culicidae. The transcript has 2 exons.
CUGAAAAUCUGUUGCUAAGAGAAAACUGCUGUUUACUCAACAAUAAACAAUCGCGGUACACUGCUUAGUGCAUGGAACCCAGUAGAGCUGCCUUGUGGUCAUUCCAGGAUAUUAAACCAAUUUGUCGCUGACAUUUUUUAUACAUGAA